GCGGCAUCCGGGAUCUGGCGCGGCUUUUGCCUUUCGCUCCAGCCUGAGCUCGGUUAGGGCCUCAGCGCCCUGCUUCCACCCCUCAGGGAGGCCUCCGUGUUCGGCCUCAGCCUCCGUCGCUCUGUGACCUGUGGGUAUUGGAUGAUUCCUAGCUGAGACUCCGCUACACCCCUGAAGUGGGGAAAUGAGUUAGCUGAUCAGGGACAGUGCAUAUGACAUCUGGAUCCAGGAUCUGCAGCUCUACCAGGGCAGUUCUGUUUUCCGUUUGCACUCCACAAAGUCAGCCUGAGUCUCUCCUGCCUGGAUCACUAUGGGGGCUUCAGCCCAGGGUCACUGAGGACACUCUCACCAGCAUCAAGAAAGAGAAAUGACUCAUCCAGGGUUUGUUCCUCCCCUCACAGAAAGAAUCUCCUUGGUUCAUAACAGAUAAGAGUUGUUCCAGUUUUUUUGGUUCUUUGGUGAAAAUGAGGAGAUCUAGAGACUCAAACUGAUCAGUAAGUAAUUGCUUCUAUUUCUUAUGGUAAUUAGAAAAAGAAAUGAACCAGUCAUGGUCCCUACCAUCAAGUAACCUGCAGUCUGGAGCACAAAGACGGAAACUGUACAGGAGACUUAAGCUUCAUUUGGGUUACUUUUAUCGUUUUGUGAGUUUUGAUGCCUCCACCUGAAGGGCUAUUCAUGGACUGAAGAGAAUUUGUUGUUGUUGUUAUUAUUAUUUGUAUUGUUUUUAGCUUGUGAAUAAUAAGUAUUUGGCUCUUAAUAUAAUUGGUCUAGAAAAAAUAAGGAUUUUGGUUAAGUUCCUUCUUAUUGUAUGUUGUAAUAUAGACAGGGAAGUGGCGAAAGUUUAUUAAAAUCACACAAACUCUGGGAAUAAAAUCUCUCUUGGUCAGGAUUAGAAAAAACAAAACUGAAAAUACUUAAUGGCCUAGAGAGCAGAAGCCUAGGGCCCACUUUCUGUCCAAACUGUGCCCAGAUCCACUCUCUGCUGAAUCUUGUCCAGGUCUGACCCCACACUGAAAUCUCCCACAGAACUGCUUAGAGGAGAUAAGAGUUUGGGGUGGCUACUCCUACUGCCUCUCCAGAGCUGGUGCUUCCAAUUUCCUGAAACACAAUAGCAGAUAAAUUGGGAAAAGCAAUAUACUUUUGUGCCUUAAAUUCUUUUUUAUAAAAUUAAAACCAGUGUUUCUAGAGACAUCCAGCAAUCUGUUCUCCAGCCCUAUAGUUUUAGUGUUUGUUUGUUUUUCUUUACAAUUUUCAAAGUAAAUACAAAAAUAAAAAAUUCCUCUGAAUUGCACUUAACACUUUCUUUCUGUUUCUCUCCCAUCUAUCUAUAUUGAACUAUUCUAUACAUUUUUAAAAAAAUCAGUCAUAGGAAAACAAGAAGAAAUAGAAAUGCCGGGCCCUGCAUUUAAAUCCUGGGAAUUAUGGGACACUUACUACCCACCUCCCAGCAUGUUAUGAGAAUUAACGCACAUAAUGUGAGCUUCCCAGCAGAGGGCUCUGUGACAUACUCCUGCACACAUAGUACAUGCUCCAUAAAGAUCACAUUAAUGCAUGUGCACAUGUUUUUCAAAUGCAGACUUACUCAGACAUUGCCACCAUCUCCAGCCUCUGUAACCUUUGAAGGGCCUGCAGAGAAUGCCAUGUUUCAGGAUGAUGAUUGGUAGUCUUGUCUUCGGGUGAAAAGUAUUUGUGUUGGGAUAAGGGACCCUGUGUGCUGUGCCUGCUUUCUCUAGCUGAGUGUUACUAUAAUGGAUCUAGGGGAGGAAUAUCAGCAUUAACAGGAGACUUACUAUAAGAAGCUGUAUAAUUCAUGGACCCUUUUCAAACCUCCAGAAUUUUGUUACUUACAGUAAGGCUUAGAAUAGCAAAUAAUUUAUACGGACAUUGAAGUCUGAAAGCCAGUGCUUAGCUAAGUGACUCUCAGCUGAGUCUUCUAAUAGUAUCACAUGGACUGUUUGAAGAGAAACAGCCACUUUUUCCCUCCCCACAGAUCCUGUCUAUUGUUCUGGAUGGAAACAUCCCUGUUUUUUAAAUUAAAACAUGAUUCUACAGCGAGGCCAGGGUCAAGCAUGAGGGCUUCCAGAUACUUAAUGAGAGGUGAGUUCACCCUUUGUUCCAGGACGUCACAGGGUCUACUCUGCUUGGUUUUCAUAAGGGCAGGUCAGUGUAGCCCGUAUUUCCAUUGUAGCAACAGAAAUUUCUGGCAUGCUGUAGAAAAUGAAGUAGAGAUUCCUCUUCAAAGGGACUUUCCUCCCAGUCUAAUUGAGAAUAAAUAGUAACCUCUCUUAGAAGCAAAAUUUACUCAAAUACCUAUGCUGGUAUUUUUAAAUAUCUGCUAACCGUAAUAAAGAAAUCAAUAUACUUUGUAUUCUUAGCUCCCACAUUUUAGCCUAAGAUAUUUGCCCUGGGAUGCCUAAGCAGGUCCAAGCAAGCAUUAGGUCAUAGGCUGUUCCUCUUACUUAUUUGGAGGUGUUUUUGGCCUUUCUCAGCAUUCCACAAGUUACUUCCUCUUUUCCUUUAUUCUCCUCUGCCUUCCCCUCUUUUGGAAAGUUCUAAAUUGCUAGCCAGUCGGGACAAGGACAAAAUGUGAGGUCCUAUUCCAGCCAAUGGAAACCAGACACAGCCAUAGGGUGGAUGCAUCAGGUUAUAAAUGACCCUGCCUCCUUUAUUUGUGUGUGAUCUCAUGGCAAGACUGCUAGUGAGUGGCACCCUUUCUACAGAAAGUAAAUUAGCCUUGCUAAGAAGAUCCUUUGUCCCAGUGUUGAUUUUUGUUGACACCGAAUAUGCAUUCCUGACACAUGCUGUCCUUUUUCCUCAGAGUUAUGGAAUACUUUAGAGAACAUUACUGUGUUGAAAGUUAUUUUAUCAGAUAAUUAUAGUCAGUCCCAUAAGUCAGAACCAGCUCACAUAACUCAUUUCUCCUGUAGUCAAUUUAAGAACUCUGUCCUUAGGCCGGGCGCGGUGGCUCACGCCUGUAAUCCCAGCACUUUGGGAGGCUGAGACGGGUGGAUCACGAGGUCAGGAGAUCGAGACCAUCCUGGCUAACACGGUGAAACCCCGUCUCUACUAAAAAUACAAAAAAUUAGCCGGGCAUGGUGGUGCGCGCCUGUAGUCCCAGCUACGCGGGAGGCUGAGGCAGGAGAAUGGCGUGAACCCGGGAGGCAGAGCUUGCAGUGAGUCGAGAUCGCACCACUGCACUCCAGCCUGGGCGACAGAGCGAAACUCCGUCUCAAAAAAAAAAAAAAAAAAAAAAAAAAAGAACUCUGUCCUUUGAUAAAUAUGUGUUUUCAGGAACUCUUAACAUUCAGGGAUGUGGCCAUAGAAUUCUGCCCAGGAGAGUGGAAAUGUCUGGAUCCUGCCCAACAGAAUUUAUAUAGAGAUGUGAUGUUGGAGAACUACAGAAACCUGGUUCCCUGGGUGAGGAUAACUGUAAAAUGUAAUUGCUAAUGCUCCCUCAGAGUUUCUGAAAAGGCUGCAUUUUUUUCUCAUGUUCACAAAUUAGGGGUGUCUUCAGUCCCAUGCUGUUAAAUCUUCUAAGAAUUCUCUCUUUUUUUUAGUGAUCUCCCUUCAAGUUUACAUGGACAGCCAAUGUCCACUUUAUCACUUAUAAGGGGCUGCAUGAUCUCACUGCUGUUCCAUUGCUUUUGCAGACAUAGGAAUAUUUGUGUUAUUGAGGAGCUCUAUGUUAAUUUAUUUUUUUCAAAUAUUGUUUUUGCAUCAUGUCUAAAAUAUUUAAGGCAAGUAGUGGACGUAUUAGGAUUUGGGUCAGAAAUCCCAGGAACACCAGAGACAGAUGUUGCAGAUUUUCUGCUUACUGAUUUUUAAUCCUAUUGCAAAUGUAAUUCCACAAAAAUUCUUUGCUAGCAAUUUUUUCAGAACAAUAAGCAUUUUCCUAAAUAUGAAAAAUGUUGAUUGUACUUCAAAAUGUUAUUGUUUUAGUGUAAACUGAGAUUUGUAAUUUAAACUCUAUAUGUGUAAAUUUUCAAGUUAUAAUAUAGUUUAAAGCAUGGGUUUCCAACCUUUUGGCUUCCCUGGGCCACAUUAGAAGCAGAAUUGUCUUGGGCCACACAUAAAAUACACUAACACUAAUGAUACCUGAUGAGCUUUAAAAGAAAAGUUCAUGGAUAGUUUUUAUGAAAUCUACCACAACAGGUAUGCAAAAUAUUCUUGCAUUCAUAGGGUUGGACACCACUUGAUUAAAGUAUCUACUCACCUUCUAGAUUUCUUAAAUGUACUGUCAUAAACCAGCUUAGAACACUGCUAAGUGUAUAUUAUUAUUUCUUAAUAACUAUUAUCUUAUAAUUUUAGUAAGACACCUACUGGGAUUCUGUUAUUGAGAUCUAUCUGUAUCUAAAAAUGUGGGUCUCAUGCAUAUACACACCUAUAUAAUUUAUAUAUGUGUAUUGUAAAUUCUCACUUAACAUUGUUGAUAGGUUCAUGGAAACUGUAAAUGAAGCAACAUAUUCUUUUAAAAAAAAUAAUUUUAACUGGGCACGGUGACUCAAACCUGUAAUCCCAGCACUUUGGGAGGCUGAGGUGGGCAAAUCAUGAGGUCAGGAGUGCAAGAUCAGCCUGGCCAACAUGGUGAAACCCCAUCUCUACUAAAAAUAUAAAAAAUUAGCUGGACAUGGUGGCAUGCACCUGUAAUCCUAGCUACUCGGGAGGCUGAGGCAGGAGAAUCGCUUGAACCCGGGAGGUGGAAUUACCGUAGUUUAAUUGAUAGAAACAAGGGUUAUGUUUGAAUGCAUAUAACAACAUUGUUUUAUUUAACGAUGCAGUUUUCAAGAACCUAUUUUGAACAUUAACUGAGGACUUACUGUACUUCUGUGUUUGUGUGACAUGGAUUUUUCUGAUACAUAAAAAUGGUAUAACUAUAUAUUUAAUGUGUACAAUGUAAUGAUUUGAUAUGCAUGUACAUUGUGAAACAAAAUACAGUCAAGUUGAUGAACAUAUCUAUUACCUCAAAUUUUUUUUGUAGUAAGAACACUUAAGAUCUACUGUCAUAGGCCAGGCACGGUGGCUCAUGCUUGUAAUCCCAGCACUUUGGGAGGCUCAGGUGGGUGGAUCACGAGGUCAGGAGUUCGAGACCAGCCUGGCCAACAUGAUGAAACCCUGUGUCUAUUAAAAAUACAAAAAAUUAGCCGGGCGUGGUUGCACGCACCUGUAAUCCCAGCUACUCAGGAGGCUGAGGCAGGAGAAUUGCUUGAACCCAGCAGGGAGAGGUUGUAGUGAGCCAAGAUCACGCCACUGCACUCCAGCCAGGGCAACAGAGUGAGACUCUGUCUCACGAAAGAAAAAAAAAAGCAAAUUAUAAGCAUACAUUACAGUAUUACUAACUAUAAACACAAUGCUAUUUGGCUAAUCUAAUGCUAAUUUACAUUACAUUUCUCAGACUUGCUCAAUUUAUAACUAAAAAUUUGUACUCUUUGAACAACAUCGCCUCCUAUUUCCACCCUCAGACACUAACAACCACUACUGUACACUCUGCUUCUGCCGGGCGUGGUGGCUCACACCUGUAAUCCCAGCUCUCAGGGAGGCAGAGCUGGGAGGACAGCCUGAGCCCAGGAGUUUGAGACCUGCCUGGGCAAUAUAGCAAGACCCCAUGCUCCAUAAAAAGGAAGAAAAAAAAAAAGACAAAAAAAUAAUAAGUGUAACUACACUCUGCUUCUAUGAGUUUAUGUUUUUAGAUUUCUCAUCUAACUUAAAACAAGCAGUUUCUUUGUCUUUCUGUGUUUGGCUUAUUUCAUUUAGCAUAAUGUCCUCCAGGUCUGUCCAUGUUGUAAAUGGCUAGAUUUCCUUCUGUUGACGGCUGAAUAGUAUUCUGUGUAUAUAUACACACGCACCAUAUUUUGGCUAUUGUAAACAACACUACAGUGAACAUAGGGCUGAAGAUAUUUCAUCAAGAUAGAAAUUUUAUUUCCUUUGGUAGGAUGCCCAGAAGUGGUAUUGCUGGAUUAUAUGGUAUUUCUAUUUUUAUUUUUUACUGGUUUUUAUGAUGACUUUAUUUAUUUACAUCUCACCAACAGCAUACAGAUUUCCCUUGUAUGUAUGUCUUCAAUGGGAAAAAAAGUAACCUUUUGUCUAUUUUUGAAUGGGUUAUUAUCGUUGUUUUGCUUUGAAUUCUAGAAGUUUUUUGUAUGUUUUGGAUAUUAACUUCUUGUUAGAUAUAUGGCUCGCAAAUAUUUUCCUAUGUUAUAGGGUUUAAAAAAAUUUUUUUCUUUGCUGUGCAGAAGCUGUUCAAUUUGAUGCAGUCCCACUUGUUUGUAUUAUUUGUUGCUAUGCUUUUGAUCUCAUAUCAAAAAAGUUAAUGCCAAGACCAAUAUCAACAAAGUUUUUUUUUUUAAUAUGUUUUCUUCAGGAGUUUUAAGGUUUUAUGUCUUACAUUUAAGUCUUUCAUUUUGAGUUAAUUUUGGGGUAUGGUAUAAGAAAAUAUUCUACUUUUAUUCUUUCACUUGUGGAUAUCCAGUUUUUCUGGCACCAUGUAUUGACAAGACUGUAUUUUCUGCAUUGUAUAUUCUUAGUGGCCUUGUCAAAGAUUAGUUGACCUUGUAUUCCUGGUUUUGUUUCUGGGCUCCCUAUUUUGUUCCAUUGGUUUUUGUAUUUGUCUUUACGCAUAUACCAUACUCUUGAUUAUUAUAACCUUUAAAUAAAAUUUGAAAUUAGAGAGUAUGAUACCCUCGCAUUGUUCUUUCUCAAAAUUGCUCAGGUUAUUUAAAGUUCUUUAAGGUUACACUUAAAUUUUACAAUUGUGUUUUCUAUUACUGUGAAAAAUGCAACUAAAACUUUGAUAGGGAUCACAUUGAAUCUAGAGAUCAUUUUGGAUAAUAUGAUACUUUGACAGUGUUAGUUAUCCUAAUGGAAUAUGUCUACAUUUAUUUGUGUCUACUUCAAUUUCUGUCAUCAAUCUUAUUGUAUUUAAUGUAUAAUUUUUUUAUUGGUUAAAUUUAUUUUAAUUAAGUUUCUUAUUUUUGUACUAUUGCAAGUGGAAAUUGUUUCUUUUUUUGGAAAGUUUGUUGCUACUGUACAAAAAUGCAAAAAAUAUUUGUAUGUUGGGCCAGGUGCAGUCUCUCAUUUCUGUAAUCCCUGCCCUUUCAGAGUCCAAGGCAGGUGGGUCACUUGAGGACGGGAGUUUGAGAUGAGUCUGGACAAUGCAGUGAGACCCUGUCUCCAAAAAAGAAAAAAAAGAAAAAAAACCCCACAAGUAUUUGUAUGUUGAUUAUGUAUCUUGAUACUUUAAUGAAUGCAUUUACUAGUUCAAACAAUUUUUGUUGUUUUACUCUAGGGUUUUAUAUAUAUAUAUAUAUACAUAUAUGCAUGAUCUUAUUACCUACAAACAGUAACAUUUUUACUUCUUUUCCAAGCUGGAGAGCUUUGUUCUCCUUUUCCUUGCCCAACUGUUCUGAAAGAAACUUCCAGAAAUAUGUUAAGGAAGCUGUGGCCCUGGAGGCAGGCCUGCAGAUCUUGGCCUCAGCUGUGGACUCUGAAGCAGCCCUGUGCCUGUGCAUUUGAAGAAUCUAACAAGGGUUUCUAUAAACUAUUUUUGACAGGUAAAGAUUGUCACGCGCGUCCGUGUGAAGAGAGUCCACCAACAGGCUUUGUGUGAGCAACAAGACUGUUUAUUUCACCUGGGUGCGGGUGGGCUAAGUCUGAAAAAGGAGUCAGCAAAGGGUGGUGGGUUUAUCAUUGUUUCUUAUAGGUUUGGGAUAGGCAUACAAAGUACCUUCUUAAGGGCAGGGGAGAAUAUAUGUAUCAG
Molecule: long non-coding RNA, 7753 nt
Organism: Gorilla gorilla gorilla (western lowland gorilla)
Lineage: Eukaryota; Metazoa; Chordata; Mammalia; Primates; Hominidae
Exons: 3
Source: RefSeq, a predicted model, not a curated record